AGUGAACGCUGGCGGUAGGCCUAACACAUGCAAGUCGAACGGCAGCACAGUAAGUGCUUGCUCUUACGGGUGGCGAGUGGCGGGUGGGUGAGGAAUACAUCGGAAUCUACUUUUUCGUGGGGGAUAACGUAGGGAAACAUACGCUAAUACCGCAUACGACCUACGGGUGAAAGCAGGGGAUCUUCGGACCUUGCGCGAUUGAAUGAGCCGAUGUCGGCUUAGCUAGUUGGCGGGGUAACGGCCCAGCAAGGCGACGAACCGUAGCUGGUGUGAGAGGAGGAGAAGCCACACUGGAACGGAGACACGGUCCAGACUACUACGGGACGGAGCAGUGGGGAAUAGUAGAUAAUGGGCGCAAGGCUGAUCCAGCCAUACCGCGUCGGUGAAGAAGGCCUUGGGGUUGUAAAGCCCUUUUGUUGGGAAAGAAGAGCAGCAGGUUAAUACCGCGCUGUUCUGACGGUACCCAAAGAAUAAGCACCGGCUAACUUCGUG
RNAcentral lists this ribosomal RNA (492 nucleotides) under uncultured bacterium. RNAcentral describes it as "partial 16S ribosomal RNA". It matches the Rfam family "Bacterial small subunit ribosomal RNA", at positions 29 to 507 of the family's 1533-position model. The record is from RNAcentral.